This 561-nucleotide long non-coding RNA is filed under the name Marmota monax (woodchuck). The record is from RNAcentral. Lineage: Eukaryota; Metazoa; Chordata; Mammalia; Rodentia; Sciuridae.
ACUGUGCACUCCUAGUGUAAAUGGCAGAGACAGCCACAGAAUUUUACCUUCUCACUGGGAAAUUAUUUUCUCUCUGUGUGUUUUGAUGGUGACAGGCUUUCUUCCAACUUGCAGUUCUUCCUCCUUGGGGGAAUAGAAAUGUAAGGAAUAAUUUCUGAUUUGAUAUUUCCUGUUCUACUCACGUACCACUGCAGUUUAAAGACUAUCUACCAAACUAGCUAACAACCCACUUUCAAAACUAUACUUUGGGAAAACAGAAGGCCAAGGGGAAGAGAAGAAAAAGUCUCUUCAAAGAAUACAUUUGAGGAUAUACGUGAAGUAUUUGGAAGAAGAGAUGAUUUGCUAAUUCUACUGGGCACAUAACAUUGUAUAAAGCUACAUUGAUGUGAUCUAGGUAAGAUAAUUUUUUUUUUUUAAUUUUUUUUAUUGGUUGUUCAAAACAUUGGGUAAGAUAAUUCUUAAGCUAAAAUUCUAUCAUUAUGCUGUAUAAGGCAGUGUCAUUGUAAGCGAAGAUGUUUGCCUAUCACACAUAAUUCAAAAUAGUCUUGUUCAUCACUAAUU